Molecule: non-coding RNA, 1356 nt
Organism: Phascolarctos cinereus (koala)
Lineage: Eukaryota; Metazoa; Chordata; Mammalia; Diprotodontia; Phascolarctidae
Source: RefSeq, a predicted model, not a curated record
UUGAAAAUAGGAAAGACUUCAUCCACUCUGCAUCAGCUGGGACUGGCCACUAAGCCAGGAGGACCUUGUAGAGGGAAGAAUUUUGUUUUCUGUCUCUCUUUUCCUUCAGCUCCACUGGGAGGAGAACAUAAGUAGCACCGAAGGAGCUAGAUGACACAUGGAGAGAACCCUGGAACUCAGGAAGACUUGAGUUCAAAACUGGCCUGAGACACAAAGUUUCUGAUCUUGGGUUCCAUUUUGGGGAUGAAUUAUCUCUCAUCGGUUUGAAGGAUUUGGCUUCUCUCCCUCUCUUCCCCACUCUCGAUCUAUGCAUUUAAUAACCAAGCACUAUCAGAGUUUAUGGCCAUUAAGUUUUAUAAUAAUAUAAUUACAAUAAUAACAAUGUGAGUAUUAUUACUUUGAUUAAAAUAGCAUAGAUAUGAAAGUAAAUAGUUAGGGAAAUUGAAAUUCCCCAAUGUUGGCUACUUGGACUAACGGCCAGGAAAGGACAAGGGGAAAAGCAGCAAAUGAAUGCAAAAUGGCUUCUCCGUACAGGAACAAAGACGAGGGGAAAGAAAGAUGUUGUUAAUUAGGCUGAUGCUCCUUACAGGCUCCAGGGUUGGCUGUGACCUUUUCACCUCUCACGGUUCAAGCCUGGUCCAGCAGCUUAGGUCUGGCCUCAUUUUUGGCUCUCCUAAUUGCCUCAAACGUUGCCAGCUCCAUGCUAGAAUAAUCUGGAGUCCCUGAGAUACCUCACACCGAUCCUCCAUCAGUCUUACAUAGCACCUCCUCUCCUGCAGCAGCUUGGCUUCUUCCCAGAAACCCACUCAGGGUCAAGACACAGACCACCGGAAUCUCAGGAGCGUGUACCUGCCUUGCGGAAAGAUACCUAGUUUCCAUGGUAAUGACUCUGUGGGUGGGAUAAAUGCAGAUUACACAGAAUACUAAGUUUAAAAAAAAAGAUUCACAAGUACACAAGUUUCAGGAACAAAUUUGUGUGGUAAAAUGAAUUCACGUUCUUUUUUUUAUCACUAAGAAAAUAAGCAACUUCUUUUUGCUCAAACAACUACAAAUAUAGAAAUAUUCUGUGUUCUCUUCACAUUGUCACAACUGUGCAAAAAAAACCCCCAACUUUUCUUUUUAAAAAUGCUUUAUUUUUAUUCUGAAUUUAAUAAAAAUCAAAUAAAAUGAAUAUACAUAGAACAGAAAAAGAGAAUUGUACACGCAACUAUAGAUUUCUAUUAUGUAUAGCUUGUUUUUCUUUCUAAGGAUGCAGUAAAUUCAGUCUUUACCUUUCAAAAGUUGUCCUGCUUGUCCAUAGUUCUAAUUUUCAUUCUAUUCUCUGCAUUAAAAAGAAAAAGAUGCCUCUCUGACUCU